CAGCACCUCAAGUGGUCAGGAUGAUUAUUGGGCCUAAAGCAUCCGUAGCCGGCGCUGUAAGUUUUCGGUUAAAUCUGUACGCUCAACGUACAGGCUGCCGGGAAUACUGCAGCGCUAGGGAGUGGGAGAGGUAGACGGUACUCGGUAGGAAGGGGUAAAAUCCUCUGAUCUAUUGAUGACCACCUGUGGCGAAGGCGGUCUACCAGAACACGUCCGACGGUGAGGGAUGAAAGCUGGGGGAGCAAACCGGAUUAGAGACCCGAGUAGUCA
This 270-nucleotide ribosomal RNA is filed under the name uncultured archaeon. RNAcentral's name for it is "partial 16S ribosomal RNA". It matches the Rfam family "Archaeal small subunit ribosomal RNA", at positions 477 to 747 of the family's 1478-position model. The record is from RNAcentral.